ACGGAAGCUAAAGGCUCAAAACGCCCCGUUUUUCUCGGAGAAAUUUUCCGAAACUAUUAUUUUAGUGACUUAUAUGUCUUGAGCGAAAGUCAUCAAAUUACUUUUCCCCCCCCUGCAGUGGAAGUGGUCUCGUCCACGUAAAUCUCAAACCAGCGAGCUUUCCUAGUGCGCAAGCGCAUUUUAAAUCACAUGGUGGCUGCCUGCUUGAGGCUGAGUUAAGUUGCUGGUGGUGAUUGGAACCUCUUUCUGGGUGUCAGAACUCGAAACUUAUCUGGAGGAUGUUGGGCUCAAAGAACAUGCCCUGGCGGAGGCUGCAGGGCAUUUCCUUCGGGAUGUAUUCGGCCGAAGAACUCAAGAAAUUAAGUGUUAAGUCCAUUACAAACCCUCGUUACCUGGACAGCCUGGGGAACCCGUCGGUGAACGGCCUGUACGAUUUAGCUUUGGGCCCUGCGGAUUCCAAAGAGGUGUGCUCCACCUGCGUGCAGGACUUCAACAACUGCUCUGGCCACCUGGGCCACAUUGAGCUUCCGCUCACGGUGUACAACCCUCUCCUCUUUGAUAAACUCUACCUGCUGCUUCGGGGCUCCUGUUUAAACUGUCACAUGCUGACCUGCCCCCGGGCUGUGAUUCACCUCUUAGUCUGCCAGCUGCGAGUUCUGGAAGUGGGUGCCCUACAAGCAGUCUACGAGCUUGAGAGAAUUCUGAACAGGUUUCUAGAAGAAAACGCUGAUCCUACUGCCUUUGAGAUUCAGGAAGAGUUAGAACAGUACACGGCCAAAAUUGUACAGAACAAUCUGUUGGGAUCCCACGGUGCACACGUGAAAAAUGUUUGUGAGAGCAGGAGCAAACUCAUUGCUUACUUCUGGAAGGCACAUAUGACUGCUAAGCGGUGUCCUCACUGCAAGACCGGGCGGUCAGUUGUCCGAAAGGAGCACAACAGCAAGCUGACAGUCACAUACCCAGCCAUGGUGCACAAGAAGGCUGACCAGAAGGACACAGAGCCCCUGGGAAUUGAGGAAGCCCAGAUGGGAAAACGAGGGUACCUAACACCCACCAGCGCCCAAGAACAUCUUACUGCCCUUUGGAAGAAUGAAGGAUUCUUUCUGAAUUACCUUUUUUUGGGACUGGAAAAUGUCGACAUGGAGUCUAGAUUCAAUCCCAGUAUGUUCUUUUUGGAUUUCCUGGUCGUGCCACCCUCAAGGUAUCGCCCUGUCAAUCGGCUGGGGGACCAGAUGUUUACCAAUGGCCAGACGGUGAACUUGCAGGCUGUCAUGAAGGACAUGGUUCUGAUCCGAAAACUUCUGGCAUUGAUGGCCCAAGAACAGGAGCUGCCGUGUGAGGUGGCAGCACCUGCCAAAGAUGAGGAAAAAGACUCUUCAGUUGUUCUGGACCAGUCCUUUUUGAGUCUGCUUCCAGGCCAGUCCCUCACAGACAAACUUUACAACAUUUGGAUUCGUCUUCAGAGCCACGUCAAUAUUGUGUUUGAUAGUGAGAUGGACAAAUUAAUGAUGGAAAAGUACCCUGGCAUUAGACAGAUCCUGGAGAAGAAGGAUGGCUUAUUCCGAAAACACAUGAUGGGGAAGCGAGUGGACUACGCGGCCCGUUCGGUCAUCUGCCCAGAUAUGUACAUUAACACCAACGAAAUUGGAAUUCCCAUGGUGUUUGCCACAAAACUGACCUACCCUCAGCCAGUCACUCCCUGGAAUGUUCAGGAACUGAGGCAAGCAGUCAUCAAUGGCCCCAAUGUACACCCGGGAGCCUCCAUGGUCAUCAAUGAGGAUGGCAGCCGCACAGCCCUGAGUGCCGUCGACCUGACCCAGCGGGAGGCUGUAGCCAAACAGCUCCUGACACCAGCCACGGGGGCACCUAAGCCCCAGGGGACAAAAAUUGUGUGCCGGCAUGUGAAGAAUGGGGACAUCCUCCUGCUGAACCGACAGCCCACCCUGCACAGACCCUCUAUCCAGGCACACCACGCCCGCAUCCUGCCUGAAGAGAAAGUCCUGCGGCUCCACUAUGCCAACUGCAAGGCAUAUAACGCUGACUUUGAUGGAGAUGAGAUGAAUGCUCACUUCCCCCAGAGUGAACUGGGCCGGGCCGAGGCCCAUGUCCUGGCCUGCACGGAUCAGCAGUACCUUGUUCCCAAGGAUGGCCAGCCAUUGGCGGGGUUGAUCCAAGAUCACAUGGUUUCGGGUGCAAACAUGACCAUUCGAGGUUGCUUUUUCACUCGGGAGCAAUAUAUGGAGCUGCUAUACCGAGGACUCACAGACAAAGUAGGGCGUGUGAAGCUCUUUCCUCCUGCCAUCCUGAAGCCCUUUCCACUGUGGACAGGAAAGCAGGUUGUGUCAACACUGCUCAUAAACAUAAUCCCAGAGGACCACAUCCCACUGAGCUUGUUGGGAAAGGCGAAGAUCAACGGCAAAGCCUGGGUGCAGGAGUCCCCUCGGCCUGUUCCUGGCUUUAACCCUGACUCCAUGUGCGAGUCCCAGGUGAUCAUCAGAGAAGGGGAGCUGCUCUGUGGGGUGCUGGACAAGGCGCACUACGGGAGCUCCGCCUAUGGCCUGGUCCACUGCUGCUAUGAGAUCUAUGGCGGGGAGACCAGCGGCAAGGUUCUCACCUGCCUGGCCCGCCUCUUCACCGCCUACCUUCAGCUCUACAGAGGUUUCACCUUGGGGGUGGAAGACAUUCUGGUUAAGCCGAAGGCAGAUGUGAAGAGACACAGGGUCAUCGAAGAGUCCACCCACUGCGGGCCGCGGGCUGUCAGGGCUGCAUUAAACCUGCCAGAAGCCGCUUCAUGUGAUGAGGUCCGAGGCAAAUGGCAGGAUGCCCAUCUGGGCAAAGACCAGAGGGAUUUUAACAUGAUUGAUCUGAAGUUCAAGGAGGAAGUGAACCAUUACAGCAAUGAGAUUAACAAGGCAUGCAUGCCAUUUGGCCUGCACAGACCGUUCCCGGAAAACAACUUGCAGAUGAUGGUGCAGUCUGGAGCCAAAGGUUCAACUGUGAACACCAUGCAGAUCUCAUGCCUGCUGGGCCAAAUCGAAUUGGAAGGUCGGAGACCCCCCUUGAUGGCAUCUGGCAAGUCAUUGCCCUGCUUUGAGCCUUAUGAGUUCACCCCCAGGGCCGGCGGUUUCGUCACUGGCAGAUUCCUCACUGGCAUCAAGCCUCCUGAGUUCUUCUUUCACUGCAUGGCCGGGCGAGAGGGUCUAGUGGACACUGCUGUGAAAACCAGCCGCUCCGGCUAUCUCCAAAGGUGCAUCAUCAAGCACUUGGAGGGGCUGGUCGUCCAGUAUGACCUGACCGUCCGCGACAGUGAUGGCAGCGUGGUACAGUUCCUGUACGGGGAGGACGGCCUGGACGUCCCCAAGACGCAGUUCCUGCAGCCCAAGCAGUUCCCCUUCCUCGCCAGCAACUAUGAGGUGAUAAUGAAAUCGAAGCAUCUGCAUGAAGUUUUAUCCAGAGCAGAUCCCCAAAAAGCUCUCCGUCACUUCAGAGCCAUCAAAAAAUGGCAAAGCAAGCAUUCCAACGGCCUGCUGAGAAAAGGCGCCUUCUUGAAUUAUUCACAGAGAAUUCAGGCAGCUGUGAAAGCCUUGAACCUUGAGGGUGGGAACCAGAAUGGCCGCAGCCUUGGGACUCACCAGAUCUUGAACAUGUGGGGUGAGUUAGAUGAGCAGAGUCGAAGGAAAUACCAGAAGAAGGCAGCUCCUUGUCCUGACCCCAGUCUGGCUGUUUGGCGCCCAGACAUCUACUUUGCAUCGGUGUCAGAAACAUUUGAAAAAAAGAUGGAUGACUACAGUCUCGAGUGGGCAUCUCAAGCAGAGAAGAGUUACGAGAAAUCAGAGCUUUCUCUUGACAGGUUGAGGACCCUGCUGCAGCUGAAGUGGCAGCGCUCGCUGUGUGACCCGGGUGAGGCCGUGGGCCUGCUGGCCGCCCAGAGCAUUGGGGAGCCCUCCACGCAGAUGACCCUGAACACCUUCCACUUUGCUGGCAGAGGCGAGAUGAACGUCACCCUGGGCAUCCCGAGGUUGAGGGAGAUCCUCAUGGUGGCGAGUGCCAACAUCAAGACGCCCAUGAUGAGCGUGCCCGUGUUCAACACCAAGAAAGCACUGAAGAGAGUGAAAAGCCUGAAGAAGCAACUCACCAGAGUAUGCUUAGGGGAGGUGUUGGAGAAAAUUGAUGUCCAGGAGUCGUUCUGUAUCGGAGACAAACAGGACAAGUUUCAGGUGUACCAGUUGAGGUUUCAGUUCCUGCCACAUGCGUAUUACCAGCAGGAGAAGUGCCUGAGACCUGAGGACAUCCUGCACUUUGUGGAAACAAGGUUCUUUAAGAUUCUGAUGGAAUCCCUCAGAAAGAAGAAUAAUAAAGCCUCAGCUUUCAGAAGCGUUAACACUCGGAGAGCUACCCAGCGGGAUCUAGACAACUCUGGCGAGUCAGAGAGGAAUCGGGGAGAACAGGAAGGCGACGAAGAGGAGGGGCCCAUUGUGGACGCUGAAGCUGAGGAGGGGGACGCUGAUGCUUCUGAUGCCAAACGCAAGGAGAAACAAGAAGAGGAGGUCGAUUAUGAGAGCGAGGAAGAGGAGGUUGAGGAGGAUAACGACGAUGAGGACAUGCAGGAGGAAGGUGCUCACAAGGCCCAGGAGCAGGAUGAAGAGGUGGGCUUAGGCCCCCAGGAGGACUCGCCCCCUGCCGCCCCCCUCAACCAGCCCCGGAAGUCCACCCGCAGCAGAGAGCCCCAGGGAGCCGGGGCCGUGGAGCGCCGGGUGCAGGCGGUGCGCGAGUCGCACCCGUUCAUAGAGGACUACCAGUAUGACUCCGAGGAGAGCCUGUGGUGCCAGGUGACAGUGAAGCUCCCUCUGAUGAAGAUUAACUUUGACAUGAGCUCCCUGGUAGUGUUGCUGGCCCAGAGUGCUGUUGUCUACGCGACCAAGGGCAUCACAAGGUGCCUCCUCAAUGAAACCACCAACAAGAAGAAUGAGAAGGAGCUUGUCUUAAACACUGAAGGAAUCAACCUGCCGGAGCUGUUCAAAUACGCUGAGGUUCUGGACUUGCGCCGCCUCUAUUCCAAUGACAUCCACGCCAUGGCCAGCACCUACGGCAUCGAGGCCGCACUGCGGGUGAUCGAGAAGGAGAUCAGGGACGUGUUUGCUGUGUACGGCAUUGCGGUCGAUCCCCGCCAUCUCUCCCUGGUCGCCGACUAUAUGUGCUUCGAGGGCGUGUACAAGCCGUUGAAUCGCUUUGGGAUCCGAUCAAACUCCUCCCCUCUGCAACAGAUGACAUUUGAGACCAGCUUCCAGUUUCUGAAGCAGGCCACCAUGCUGGGAUCGCACGAUGAGCUGAGGUCCCCUUCCGCCUGCCUCGUGGUCGGGAAAGUCGUCCGGGGCGGGACAGGCCUGUUCGAGCUCAAGCAGCCCCUGAGAUAGUGGCCACCGCCUACCAUCUACCCGGCCUGGAGGACAGCCAGGAGGACCUGGGGGCGGGCCUGGCCUGCCCGUCCCAUGAGAGGCCCGGGAGAGCGGAGGCCAAGGUGGCCCAGGUGGUUGUUCAGGGCACGGCAGUGAUGCUGGGGGGCCGUGAAAGCAGCUGGCCUCAGGGCUGGACCAGCUUCAACUGGAAAGUGGCAGCGUUCCUUGGCCUUCCCCGUCUCGGGAUAUGAGCAGGGUUCACCGAGUCCCCUGAGUCCCUCUCAGGUGGCCAGCCCUUCCCCUGUGCGGCACCUCUGAGGCAGGGAGAGCCCUUCAUCUUGCAAAGCUGAAUCUCUGUCGCCAUCAAACACUGACUCCCCCAUUCCUCUGGUGACCACUUGCCCCUGGGGCAGCCACCCCGUUCUUCCUGCUGUCUCUGCAUUUGACUCCUGCCUCCGAUGAGUGGAAUGAUUAUUUGCUCUUUUGUGAUUGGCUUAUUUUACUUGAUGUAAUGUUGAUGUUCAUCAGUGUUGUGGCAUGUGUCAGAAUUUCCUUCCUGUUGAAGGUUGAAUAAUAUCCCACUGUGUGUCUGUUUCGUUCAUCCAUCCAACCAUCGAUGGACACUUGGGUUGCUUCUACCUUUUGGCUCUUGUGAAUGCUGCUGCGAACACGGAUGUACAAAUCUCAAGACCCUGCUUCCAGUUCUUUGGGGUUUAGACCCAGAAGUGGAAUUGUUGGAUCGUUGGCAGUUGGCAGUUCUGUUUUUCAUGUUUUGAGAAGCUGCCAUGCUAUUUUCCACAACGUCUAUACCAUUUUACAUUCCCACCCACAGCACACAAGGCUUCCGAUUUCUCCACCCCCUUGCUGAUGCUUGUUCUUUCCUCUUUUGUUCUAUAUGGCAGCCAUCGUGAUUUGAGUUAGGGAGUGUCAGAUGGUGGGGCGCUUAGGUGGUCUGCACCUACAUAGACUUAGGAACCACUUUAGAAGUGUCUCUCUGGCUUCUUCUCCGAGAGAACGCCAAAUGGCGGAUGACGCCGGUGCUGUGGGAGGACCCGGAGGGCCGGGGGGCCCUGGAAUGGGAGGCCGCAGAGGCUUCAGCAGUGGCAUCCGGGACUGUGGUCGGGGCCGGGGUCAAGGCCGUGGAGCUCGCAGAGGCAAGGCCGAGGACAAGGAGUGGAUCUCCAUCACCAAGCUGGGCUGCCUGGUCAAGGACAUGAAGACCAAGUCCCUGGAGGAGAUCUCUCUCUUCUCCCUGCCCAUCAAGGAAUCUAGGUCAUUGAUUUCUUCCUGGGAGCAUCCCUCAAGGACGAGGUUCUGAAGAUCAUGCCUGUGCAAAAGCAGACCCGUGCUGGCCAUCGGACCAGGUUCAAGGCGUUUGUUGCCAUCGGAGAUCACAACAGGCACGUGGGCCUGGGUUUCAAGUGCUCCAAGGAGGUCGCCACUGCCGUCCGUGGGGCCAUCGUCCUGGCCAAGCUUUCCAUCGUCCCCGUGCGGCAAGGCUACUGGGGGAACAAGAUCGGCAAGCCCCACACUGUCCCAUCCCGGGUGACUGGCUGCUGUGGCCCUGUGCUGGGGUGCCUCAUCCCCGCCCCCAGAGGCACUGGCAUGGUCUCAGCCCCUGCGCCCAAGAAGCUACUGAUGCUGGCCGGUAUCGACGACUGCCACACGUCGGCCAGGGGCUGCACUGCCACCCUGGGGAACUUUGCCAAGGCUACUUUUGAUGCCAUCCCCGAGACCUACAGCUGUCUCACCCCUGACUUCUGGAAGGAGACGGUGUUCACCAAGUCUCCCUAUCCGGAAUUCACUGACCAUCUUGUGAACACCCACAACAGAGUCUCCGUGCAGAGGACCUAGGCUCCAGCUGUGGCCAUCACGUA
Mirounga angustirostris (Northern elephant seal) is the source of this 7273-nucleotide RNA transcript. It is a transcript of the gene named RNA polymerase I subunit A, with no coding region annotated. The record is from RefSeq and is a predicted model, not a curated record. The transcript has 35 exons. Lineage: Eukaryota; Metazoa; Chordata; Mammalia; Carnivora; Phocidae.